Molecule: ribosomal RNA, 83 nt
Filed under: Arabis alpina (gray rockcress)
Lineage: Eukaryota; Viridiplantae; Streptophyta; Magnoliopsida; Brassicales; Brassicaceae
Description: rRNA ENSRNAG00050208277
Source: RNAcentral
GGGGUGCAACACGAGGACUUCCCAGGAGGUCACCCAUCCUAGUACUACUCUCGCCCAAGCACGCUUAACUGCGGGGUUCUGAU